Molecule: ribosomal RNA, 467 nt
Filed under: uncultured bacterium
Lineage: Bacteria
Description: partial 16S ribosomal RNA
Rfam family: Bacterial small subunit ribosomal RNA
Source: RNAcentral
GACGAACGCUGGCGGCGUGCUUAACACAUGCAAGUCGAACGGAAAGGCCCUGCUUUUGUGGGGUGCUCGAGUGGCGAACGGGUGAGUAACACGUGAGUAACCUGCCCUUGACUUUGGGAUAACUUCAGGAAACUGGGGCUAAUACCGGAUAGGAGCUCCUGCUGCAUGGUGGGGGUUGGAAAGUUUCGGCGGUUGGGGAUGGACUCGCGGCUUAUCAGCUUGUUGGUGGGGUAGUGGCUUACCAAGGCUUUGACGGGUAGCCGGCCUGAGAGGGUGACCGGCCACAUUGGGACGGAGGUACGGCCCAGACUCCUACGGGAGGCAGCAGUGGGGAAUAUUGCACAAUGGGCGGAGGCCUGAUGCAGCAACGCCGCGUGCGGGAUGACGGCCUUCGGGUGGUAAACCGCUUUCGCCUGUGACGAAGCGUGAGUGACGGUAAUGGGUAAAGAAGCACCGGCUAACUACGU